This 505-nucleotide ribosomal RNA is filed under the name uncultured bacterium. RNAcentral's name for it is "partial 16S ribosomal RNA". It matches the Rfam family "Bacterial small subunit ribosomal RNA", at positions 28 to 507 of the family's 1533-position model. The record is from RNAcentral.
GACGAACGCUGGCGGCGUGCCUAGUACAUGCAAGUAGAACGCACAGUUUAUACCGUAGCUUGCUACACCAUAGACUGUGAGUUGCGAACGGGUGAGUAACGCGUAGGUAACCUGCCUGGUAGCGGGGGAUAACUAUUGGAAACGAUAGCUAAUACCGCAUCAUAUUGAUUAUUGCAUGAUAAUUGAUUGAAAGAUGCUAUUGCAUCACUACCAGAUGGACCUGCGUUGUAUUAGCUAGUAGGUGAGGUAACGGCUCACCUAGGCGACGAUACAUAGCCGACCUGAGAGGGUGAUCGGCCACACUGGGACUGAGACACGGCCCAGACUCCUACGGGAGGCAGCAGGAGGGAAUCUUCGGCAAUGGACGAAAGUCUGACCGAGCAACGCCGCGUGAGUGAAGAAGGGUUUCGGAUCGUAAAGCUCUGUUGUAAGAGAAGAACGGGUGUGAGAGUGGAAAGUUCACACUGUGACGGUAUCUGACCAGAAAGGGACGGCUAACUACGUG